RNAcentral lists this ribosomal RNA (497 nucleotides) under uncultured bacterium. RNAcentral describes it as "partial 16S ribosomal RNA". It matches the Rfam family "Bacterial small subunit ribosomal RNA", at positions 28 to 507 of the family's 1533-position model. The record is from RNAcentral.
GAUGAACGCUGGCGGCGUGCCUAAUACAUGCAAGUCGAGCGAACAGACGAGGAGCUUGCUCCUCUGACGUUAGCGGCGGACGGGUGAGUAACACGUGGAUAACCUACCUAUAAGACUGGGAUAACUUCGGGAAACCGGAGCUAAUACCGGAUAAUAUAUUGAACCGCAGUGUUCAAUAGUGAAAGACGGUUUUGCUGUCACUUAUAGAUGGAUCCGCGCCGCAUUAGCUAGUUGGUAAGGUAACGGCUUACCAAGGCAACGAUGCGUAGCCGACCUGAGAGGGUGAUCGGCCACACUGGAGCUGAGACACGGUCCAGACUCCUACGGGAGGCAGCAGUAGGGAAUCUUCCGCAAUGGGCGAAAGCCUGACGGAGCAACGCCGCGUGAGUGAUGAAGGUCUUCGGAUCGUAAAACUCUGUUAUUAGGGAAGAACAAAUGUGUAAGUAACUAUGCACGUCUUGACGGUACCUAAUCAGAAAGCCACGGCUAACUACGUG